GCCGGGCACAGCGGCCCAGGCCUGUAAUCCCAGCAGCUCGGGAGGCUGAGGCAGGAGGAUCUGAAUUCAAAGGCAGCCUCAGCAACAGAGAUGUGCUAAGCAACUCAGUGAGCCCCUGUCUCUA
RNAcentral lists this small RNA (124 nucleotides) under Marmota monax (woodchuck). Lineage: Eukaryota; Metazoa; Chordata; Mammalia; Rodentia; Sciuridae. The record is from RNAcentral.